UAAAUGACAAGGGCUGGAAGUAGAAGAGGCCUUUGACUCACUGAGGAAUCCAUGCUUCUUCCUAGUCUUUCAAGUUUGUUGGUCUGAUGUCCUGGACCUUGGAGGGGAGAAAAUGAGAAUUUUAGUGUACUUAAAGCCACAGAUAGUCACUUUAAAUUCCUCCUGCCAAUAAAUUGCAUCCACAGAAGCCAGAAGCAGGCAUUGGAACUGCUGACACUGGAGUUUCAGACAACUAUGAGCUGUCAUGUGGCACUGGGAAUCGAACCUGGGUCCUCUGAAAGAACUGAAGUCUGCCAUUUCAAGGGCAGCCUGGGCAAGCCAGUGAAGACUCUUACUCACAAAGAAAACAAGUGCUGGAGAUGGAGCUCAGUGGUAGAGCACUCACUCACCCAGCAAAGCCUAGUACUGCAGGAAAAAAAAGAAAAGAAAAGAAAAGAAAAGAAGAGAAGAGAAAAGAAAAGAAAAGAAAAGAAAAGAAAAGAAAAGAAAAGAAGAGAAGAGAAGAGAAAAGAAAAGCAACAAUAAACAAACGAACUUCAGUGAUGCGGGUGUGGUUGCAUUUCUGGAUCUAGGUGAUUACUUAACCCCCACACUCUUUCCAGAAGGAAUGAAAGAUGAGAACCAUGUCAACAGUGUGAAGGGCAUCCCUUCUGUGGAAGGUGACAUGCUUUUGUUGCAUCCUACCACUCGGCGUUCAGUUUUCGGGCCAUGCUCACACCCAUGAACAUCUGGGAAAGCCUCUCAGAAAUGUAGAAUUCUGUUAUCAAGGGAGAGGGGGGAUGGAUAUUGGAAUAGUGGCAACAGGACCGUUCUUGGUGGCAACAUCCUGAGACGUAGGCAGGGUUGCAUAGCCCACCAGCGAGCCCAGCACUUUGCCCUUUGGAAAGCUUCUUGGGGUCCAUUCCCAUUGGAAUUUGUAGAUCUUUCUUUGGAUGUGCGGACACUUGCAGGAGUAUAUGUGUGUGUCCAAGCGCAGACUUGUAUCCUUUUAUUAGAAAAGAAAACGAUCGAAAGCUGUUUCCUUUGGUCUUCCUGUGGCGGUCAGAUGAGCCGGGUUUAGAGACUGUUGCUAGUGAAACAGUUCCCGACGCCCUUUCAUUUCUCCUCUGUUGGUUCCACGGGUUUCCUUUCCCUCCCUUGCCCCCUCCCUCUCUCCCUCUUCCCUUUCAUUCCCGAACCCCUCCCCCUCUAUCUUCUUAUGUUGCCUGGGCACCCUGUCUCCACAUCCCACUGCUCGCUUGUGCCAAGGAGUAAGUCAAACAAGGUUGGAAAGACAGGCGGGGGCGGGGGGGGGCGAGUGAGGACA
Peromyscus maniculatus bairdii (prairie deer mouse) is the source of this 1306-nucleotide non-coding RNA. Lineage: Eukaryota; Metazoa; Chordata; Mammalia; Rodentia; Cricetidae. The record is from RefSeq and is a predicted model, not a curated record.